This 392-nucleotide ribosomal RNA is filed under the name Aplanochytrium sp. Its description in RNAcentral is "partial small subunit ribosomal RNA". It matches the Rfam family "Eukaryotic small subunit ribosomal RNA", at positions 582 to 975 of the family's 1831-position model. The record is from RNAcentral. Lineage: Eukaryota; Bigyra; Thraustochytrida; Thraustochytriidae.
AUUCCAGCUCCAAUAGCGUAUAUUAAAGUUGUUGCAGUUAAAAAGCUCGUAGUUGGAUUUCUGGUAGGAGCGACCGUGCCGAACUUGAUUGUUCGAGUAUUGUGUUGUCUUCAGCCAUCCUCGUGGAGAACUUUUCUAACAUUAACUUGUUGGGAUUGGGACCCGCGUCGUUUACUGUGAAAAAAUUAGAGUGUUUAAAGCAGGCAUUAGCUUGAAUACAUUAGCAUGGAAUAAUAAGAUAGGACUUUGGUACUAUUUUGUUGGUUUGCAUACCAAAUUAAUGAUCAACAGGGACAGUUUGAGGAUAUUCGUAUGAACAUGUCAGAGGUGAAAUUCUUGGAUUUUGAUCAGACGAACUACUGCGAAAGCAUUUAUCAAGGAUGUUUUCAUCA